AUGGCAAAGGUGAAGGGAUUUUGCAGGUCUCAUUAUGACCCUGAAUCAACUGAACCUGAAUUAAUGAAAGCAGAGAUCACCACACAGAAUGCAAACUGGCAGACUGCCUUCUUGAAGGGAGAAGCCUCAGGCAGCACAGAACAGCCUGGGAGACACAGCCUUUCCAGCUUAGACUUCUGGCAUCCAGUCCAGGCCAGUAGCAGAGGCUGUUGGGAUUCCGAAGCAGGAAAUGGGGCAAGAAGAUGGAGGAGCUGUCACAGCCCAGGGCCGAGUGAGGACACCAGAGUGCCAGCGUGUAGCACACUCGCUGCUGCCCUGGGGCCAAGGAAGUACAUCCUGUGUGGGCAGUCCUGCCAGCCACAGCAAGCCACCUGGAUUCAUGCCCAGUUAGGGACAUGGGUCUGGAUCACCCCAGCUGUCCUGGCCACCCAAGUCAAGUAAAUGAGAUUUGGGUAAUUUAAAAUCAGAUUUGGAUGCCUACUAAACCAAGAUUCUCUCUCAGGGGAUAGAACUGGGGCUGGAGGCAAGAGACCAAAUGAGGCUUUGUGCCUCCUCUGCAAUGUCCCAUCUUAUUUUUUAUUUUCUCAAGAAAAAUGUAUUCAUGGGUAAGAAUGUAUUCAUACCCAACUACUUGGGUAGUAAUAAAAAGAAACUUAAAAAAAAAAAAAGAU
Molecule: long non-coding RNA, 671 nt
Organism: Bos indicus x Bos taurus (hybrid cattle)
Lineage: Eukaryota; Metazoa; Chordata; Mammalia; Artiodactyla; Bovidae
Source: Ensembl